UACGUAGGUCCCAAGCGUUAUCCGGAUUUACUGGGCGUAAAGAGUCCGUAGCCGGUUUGAUAAGUCUGCUUUCAAAUACCGAAACUCAACUUCGGAAAGGGAGCAGAUACUGUUAUACUAGAGAAAGGUAGGGGUUAGUAGAAUUUCUGGUGGAGGGGUGAAAUCCGUUGAUAUCAGAAGGAAUACCGAAAGCGAAAGCAGCUAACUAUACCUUUUCUGACGGUGAGGGACGAAAGCUUGGGUAGCGAAC
RNAcentral lists this ribosomal RNA (250 nucleotides) under uncultured archaeon. Its description in RNAcentral is "partial 16S ribosomal RNA". It matches the Rfam family "Bacterial small subunit ribosomal RNA", at positions 524 to 773 of the family's 1533-position model. The record is from RNAcentral.